UACAGAGGGUGCGAGCGUUAAUCGGAUUUACUGGGCGUAAAGGGCGCGUAGGCGGUGAUGUGAGUGUGAUGUGAAAGCCCCGGGCUCAACCUGGGAAGUGCAUCGCAAACGACAUGACUGGAGUAGAUGAGAGGGUGGCGGAAUUUCCGGUGUAGCGGUGAAAUGCGUAGAGAUCGGAAGGAACGUCAAUGGCGAAGGCAGCCACCUGGCAUCAUACUGACGCUGAGGCGCGAAAGCGUGGGGAGCGAACAGG
RNAcentral lists this ribosomal RNA (253 nucleotides) under uncultured bacterium. RNAcentral's name for it is "partial 16S ribosomal RNA". It matches the Rfam family "Bacterial small subunit ribosomal RNA", at positions 524 to 776 of the family's 1533-position model. The record is from RNAcentral.